UGCAAAGCUAUUCAUUUCACAUAAGAGUACAUCAGAACUGAAGAAACGCCUUGCGGAUGAUUAUCUAGCUUCUGAAAAAGCAAAAAUGGCCAAAUCAUAUCCUAGUGUUGCUUCACCUGCACAAUCUUUGAUGGGUGUUUAUCCAACUGGUCAAAACCAGUGGGCAGCUAGCUAUGGUUUACAACCGCAAGCCUGGCCUCCUGUCGCUCAAGCACAGGGGCAACAAUGGGCACCUGGUUAUACACAAUCGGCUUCGUAUGGUGGGUAUGGAAGCACAUACACGAAUCCACAAGUGUCCACAUCGGUGUCACAAGCCUCCACUUAUGCGACGUAUCCUCCUACAUACUCUGCCCAGCCAGCAUAUGCUGCUCAGAGUUAUGCCCAACCGACCGCUCAAGCGACAAUAGCACCAUCCCAGCAGCCAGCUUCAGUCGCUCAGCCGUAUUAUGGUAGUUACUAUAUGAAUGGAUGAGAAAAGGGCAUUGGUAUUGGUAACUGUAAUCUAAAAUUUUCCCCUCAUGUACGAAUUAGAUCUACUGACAUCCUUUACCUUUGUUUUUUAGGGACAUGGGUAUGGUAUAGUAUAGCUAACACAAACUAGGGGACAGUUCUUAGAAUCUUCUUCCUAA
This 629-nucleotide unclassified non-coding RNA is filed under the name Hevea brasiliensis (rubber tree). Lineage: Eukaryota; Viridiplantae; Streptophyta; Magnoliopsida; Malpighiales; Euphorbiaceae. The record is from RNAcentral.